RNAcentral lists this ribosomal RNA (253 nucleotides) under uncultured bacterium. RNAcentral's name for it is "partial 16S ribosomal RNA". It matches the Rfam family "Bacterial small subunit ribosomal RNA", at positions 524 to 776 of the family's 1533-position model. The record is from RNAcentral.
UACGUAGGAGGCAAGCGUUGUCCGGAAUUACUGGGUGUAAAGCGCGUGUAGGCGGCAGGCCAAGUCUGUGGUGAAAUCGCUCGGCUCAACUGGGCGGGGUCCAUGGAAACUGGUCAGCUGGAGGACGGUAGAGGUGAGUGGAAUUCCCGGUGUAGUGGUGAAAUGCGUAGAGAUCGGGAGGAACACCCGUGGCGAAGGCGGCUCACUGGGCCGGUCCUGACGCUGAUGCGCGAAAGCCAGGGGAGCGAACGGG